Molecule: long non-coding RNA, 712 nt
Filed under: Equus caballus (horse)
Lineage: Eukaryota; Metazoa; Chordata; Mammalia; Perissodactyla; Equidae
Description: lncRNA (ENSECAG00000056832.1)
Source: RNAcentral
GUGACUGACGGCAAGAAACACAUCAGCUUGGUGGUGCUGCUGCCCAUGUGUGUAAGUCUCUUCCAUUUGAGCCCCAGAAAUGGGACAAAAGCUUCACUUCAGUUCAGAUUAAGCGUUGGUGCCAGAUGAAGAAAAAUUUGGUUUCCAGAUUUUCCUUGGAUUUCAGGAUUGCAGAUAAGGGAUGCUCUGCGUAGAUGCUACUAAUCGCUGGUGUGACAGAUGAGGAAGCUGAAUAAGUGGCAAAGGAUGGAACUGAAGCAAGUUUUGGCAGCUUCUGAAAUCCAAACUCUUCUGAGAAAUGCCACUGUCUGUGGGGUCUGUGUUGAUUUCCUCUACCUUUCCUCUCAUCUGGAACAAGUCCUGUCUCCUCUGAGGGGAGAAGGAAGGGAAGCAGAAGCCUCAGGACUAGAGAACAUGGCUAUAGCCAAGGACUGAAGCUUCAGGGAAACAGCCGACAGUAGGAUUUUGAGAAAAGAAACGAGAGAGAAAGUUCCAGCUGACUCAGCCUCAGGCUUAGCUGUGCAGGGUAACCCUUUGCCUCCAACCCAGGCCGAAUCAGCACACCCAUUUAUGAACAUCCUGCAGUCAGCAAAUACGUGUUGAGUGCCAGGCACUGGAAUGCAGUGGUGAGCCAACACAGAAAGGGCCCUGUCCUCUCGGGGCUUACACCCCAAGACAAGGGGGCUUACACUCGAGUUUUGGCACCCUCAGG